RNAcentral lists this ribosomal RNA (1963 nucleotides) under human gut metagenome. RNAcentral's name for it is "bacterial LSU rRNA". It matches the Rfam family "Bacterial large subunit ribosomal RNA", at positions 3 to 1999 of the family's 2925-position model. The record is from RNAcentral.
UUAAGCAAGAAAGAGCAUAAGGUGAAUGCCUUGGCACUGGAAGCCGAAGAAGGACGUGACAAGCUGCGAUAAGCUGCGGUGAGGAGCAAAUAUCCCUUGACCCGCAGAUAUCCGAAUGAGGGAACUCACCUGUUUUAAUAGGCAGGUAUCCUAUGAUGAAUAUAUAGUCAUAGAGAAGGAAACCCGGAGAACUGAAACAUCUAAGUACCCGGAGGAAAAGAAAGAAACAUCGAUUUUCCAAGUAGCGGCGAGCGAACGGGAAAGAGGCCAAACCGACUAUUUAUAGUUGGGGUUGUGGAUCACCACAAGAGAUACUUAAAUAUAGCCAAAGACAGCUGGAAAGCUGUAGCAAAGAGGGUAACACUCCCGUAGGCGAAAUAUGAGAGGACUCAGGUGACACCAGAGUAGUGCCGGACACGUGGAAUCCGGCAUGAAGCCGGGGGGCCCACCCCCCAAGCCUAAAUACUAACCAGUGACCGAUAGCGAAGUAGUACCGUGAGGGAAAGGUGAAAAGAACCCCGGGAGGGGAGUGAAAUAGAACCUGAAACCUUAUGCUUACAAUCGGAGGGAGCGGAAGUGACCUCAUACUUUUUGUAGAACGGGCCAACGAGUUAUGGUAUGUAGCAAGGUUAAGGUGCUGGAGCACCGAAGCCGCAGGGAAACCGAGUCUUAAUAGGGCGAGAAGUUACAUGCUGUAGACCCGAAACCGGGUGACCUAUCCAUGUGCAGGUUGAAGUAACUGUAAAAGGUUAUGGAGGACCGAACUCAUGUCUGUUAAAAAAGGCUGGGAUGACGUGUGGAUAGCGGUGAAAUUCCAAUCGAACUCGGAGAUAGCUGGUUCUCCUCGAAAUAGCUUUAGGGCUAGCCUCAAGGAAAGAUACGCGGGGGUAAAGCACUGAAUGUUCAAGGGGCCUUCACCGGUUACCAAAAACUAUCAAACUCAGAAUACCGCAGUAUUAUACUUGGGAGUCAGGCUAUGUGAGAUAAGUUUCAUAGUCGAGAGGGAAACAACCCAGACCAACAGCUAAGGUCCCCAAAUGUAAGUUAAGUGGAAAAGGAUGUGGAGUUGCAUAAACAGCUAGGAUGUUGGCUUAGAAGCAGCCAUACAUUUAAAGAGUGCGUAAUAGCUCACUAGUCGAGUGACCCUGCGCCGAAGAUAAACGGGGCUAAAACUUACUACCGAAGCUUUGGAACAGAAAUGUUGGUAGAGGAGCAUUGUAUACAGGCAGAAGGUAAAUUGUGAAGUUUGCUGGACAGUAUACAAGAGAGAAUGUUGGCAUGAGUAGCGAGAGGCAGGUGAGAAUCCUGCCCGCCGAAAAUCUAAGGUUUCCUGAGGAAGGUUCGUCCACUCAGGGUUAGUCGGGGCCUAAGCCCAGAGCGAGAGCUGUAGGCGAUGGACAACAGGUAGAAAUUCCUGUACCACCGAGGAUUGAAUGAGUGAAGUGGGGACACAGAAGGAUAGGUUGAGCACGCCGUUGGUAGAGCGUGUCCAAGCGUCAAGGGAGUAUAAGUAGGCAAAUCCGCAUAUACAAUUCUGAGGCGUUAUGGGGUGGCGAAAGAGCCUGAAGCGACUGAUUUCAUGCUGUCAAGAAAAUCCGCUAGCGAGAUCCAAGGUGCCCGUACCGCAAACCGACACAGGUAGAUGAGGAGAGAAUCCUAAGGCGAGCGAGAGAACUAUUGUUAAGGAACUCGGCAAAAUUACCCCGUAACUUCGGGAGAAGGGGUGCCACAGAAAUGUGGCCGCAGUGAAUAGGCCCAGGCAACUGUUUACCAAAAACACAGGUCUCUGCAAAAGCGAAAGCUGAAGUAUAGGGGCUGACGCCUGCCCGGUGCUGGAAGGUUAAGGGGAAGUGUUAGGGUAACCGAAGCACAGAACUUAAGCCCCAGUAAACGGCGGCCGUAACUAUAACGGUCCUAAGGUAGCGAAAUUCCUUGUCGGGUAAGUUCCGACCCGCACGAAAGG